Molecule: non-coding RNA, 74 nt
Organism: Aedes albopictus (Asian tiger mosquito)
Lineage: Eukaryota; Metazoa; Arthropoda; Insecta; Diptera; Culicidae
Source: Rfam
UGUUCUGUAGCUUAGUUGGUUAAAGCGCCGGACUAGCGAUAACGGAGUAGUGGGUUCGAAUCCCACCAAAACAA